CUAUCCCACACGGCUUAAUAUUUCUUUUCUUCCGCGGCUUAGGAAUUAAAUCCCAUUAUACUUUUGAAAUUCUAAGGUAAUGGCUCAAACUAAAUUCUAGGCCCAGCUGGGGAUUAAUUUAUUCUGGCCCAAAAGAUUGAAUUUCAGGCCAAUCUAAAUAAAUUGCCUGGCCCAAUUUCUACCCCCUUUUCCCAAGUGGAAAAAGAAAAAGGAGGCCCAAUCCUUAAUACUCCCAUCUGCAUCGGUCUAUUCUCUCCCUCUUUUCUUCAAGCAAAAUCCCCAAAUUGGGGUAGGGAACACAGCGUCCCCUUCACUUCACGCCGAUCGGUCUUCGUCGCGAAGUCAACCACCGGCGUUCUAUCGUCACCAUCGCGCUCUCCCCCGUCGACGCCCCCUCUCGGCUGGAGCUCCGUCAUCAAGCUGGAACUCGGUCGCUGUUCGGCGUGAUUCGAGGUGCGGCUCCGGCAGUAGCUGUGCCUCACGAGGCUUCCGCAGUCGCCGCUGAGUCGCUGCUGGUUCCACAAGCUCGGCGUCGCCGCCUCCCCUUUCGACGACCAGCGCCGUCGUUGUCCAAAGCCUGAGAGCGACUACCGCUGCCCCGCGGUGAUCUUCGAGCUCCGUCGCCUCGCGAUCGCCCCCUCUAAGCUAAGUUUUCCUCUUAUACUCAGCUCAUUUGGUGGUUGAGUUCUACUACAAAUCUAUGUUCAACUCAUCCAUAAUCAAGAUCUAGGCAGUGGCUCGAGAGUUUGAUAGCAUAUGGUGUUGUUACUGUUCUUUAUCUAUGGUUUUCAUCAUGUUGGGUUCUGAAAUGAUAUAAUCUUAGCAUGCUCGUGGGUAAACAUGAUGCUUAUGAGUAACAUGAGCUUAGAUCUUGGUUGUUGGAUGAGUUACCUGCUGAGAUUUGCAGUUGGGUUGUAACACGACCCUUGAUCUAUGUCUCUCGGUUCCAGCCCUUGGUCUCAGCCUCCCUUUCUCCCUCUCGCUGCCUCGGUCCCUCUCGCUCUGGGAUUCACUAACUUAUGCGUGGUGGGGAGGAAAACAAAGGCUGGGGUUAUAUCCUAUAUAUAGGAUGGUGUGUAACUGAAAGCCUGUUAAAGGCUGUGUACUUGGCUGAAAAGGAACACCCAGGCUGUGCCAUUCUGGCUGGUCUUCUUGUAGUUUACAGGCCGUGUACCCUUGACCUGAGUGAGCCUAUGGCUCUCUACUAUGCCUCUGAUUAGUAACUGAACUGGCCCCUUAUGCUGGUACUCUCUUGCUGCACAUUCUGGCCGGAAAAAAAUUAGCUCUAUGUGGCUGAUUCUGUGAGGGUAGUACUGGGGUUGUACUCGUGGGUUUAGUGGCUGCUGGUUUGAUUAAAUUCUGUAGUGUUUUAACCGUUUUUGGCUUCAUGUGCAGGUCUAGUACUUGGUGAAUUAAUGGGCUGUUGUCUUCUUAUUGCAGGUGCAAAUAGAAGAUGGCAUUUGUGGCUGCUUCUCUCGACCAUGGCAGGUCUGAAAACUGACGGUACAAGCUGCUAACUGCAGCCUUGCAGUGUGCGGUUGUUGGAGAGGGGUUUACUGGCUGAUCUUGCCCUUCUCGGCCCAGCUUUCUCUCAUUUUUUCGAAAGGGUUAAGGCUAUAGUGCCGAGGCCAUCUCUCCUCGUGGCCUCACCCUCCCGGCUCGUCUGGGAUUUUGGGGCCAAGAUGGCUCACGUUGAAGGCCGAGGAAGUUCACUAUGAAUUCUCGGUUGUAGUAGUUCACUUUGAACCCCCUUUGUUCAUUUCUUUGUUCAACACAUGUACUAUUGCUAGUUGUCAGAUCUCGUUUCAUUUAUUCUCAUCGUCGGAGGUUGUAAGUUAUUAGUUUGAGAUUCUGGAAGUUGUAUUUGUACUCUUUCUCAAGAAUUAAAAAUACUCAUUCAUUCAUUAAUAAAAUUUCUCGCAUUUUAUUUCGUAA
Molecule: long non-coding RNA, 1935 nt
Organism: Salvia splendens (bonfire salvia)
Lineage: Eukaryota; Viridiplantae; Streptophyta; Magnoliopsida; Lamiales; Lamiaceae
Exons: 2
Source: RefSeq, a predicted model, not a curated record